Cinara cedri is the source of this 133-nucleotide non-coding RNA. NCBI's taxonomy places the organism in Eukaryota, Metazoa, Arthropoda, Insecta, Hemiptera, Aphididae. The record is from the annotation of a GenBank genome assembly.
UGUGUGUGUGUGUGUGUGUGUGUGUGUGUGUGUGUAUAUGUUUAGUUAUACUACGCCUUUUCCCGGAGAACGUUUGGCGCGCGCUGAUGAAUGAUUUAUACACAUACAUAACACACACACACACACACACACA